RNAcentral lists this ribosomal RNA (424 nucleotides) under uncultured bacterium. RNAcentral's name for it is "bacterial SSU rRNA". It matches the Rfam family "Bacterial small subunit ribosomal RNA", at positions 32 to 435 of the family's 1533-position model. The record is from RNAcentral.
AAUCAACGCUGGCGGCGUGCCUCAGACAUGCAAGUCGAACGCGAAAGUUCCCUUCGGGGGAUGAGUAGAGUGGUGCACGGGUGAGUAACACGUAGGUAAUCUACCUUCGGAUGGGGAAUAACAACCGGAAACGGUUGCUAAUACCGCAUAAUGCAGCGGCACCUAAUGGUGACAGUUGUUAAAGCGGGGGAUCGAAAGACCUCGCGUCUGAAGAGGAGCCUGCGGCGGAUUAGCUAGUUGGUAGGGUAACGGCCUACCAAGGCUACGAUCCGUAGCCGGCCUGAGAGGGCGGUCGGCCACACUGACACUGACAUACGGGUCAGACUCCUACGGGAGGCAGCAGUCGGGAAUUUUGGGCAAUGGGCGAAAGCCUGACCCAGCAACGCCGCGUGAAGGAUGAAAUCCCUCGGGAUGUAAACUUCGC